GCGGGGGCGCCCGAGCCUGGUCAAAGGGGCGGGAAUGAGGAUCCCGUGGCCGUAGGGCGUCCCGGGUUCAAAUCCCGGCCCCCGCACCA
Molecule: transfer RNA, 89 nt
Filed under: Methanopyrus kandleri
Lineage: Archaea; Methanobacteriati; Methanobacteriota; Methanopyri; Methanopyrales; Methanopyraceae
Rfam family: tRNA
About the family: Transfer RNA (tRNA) molecules are approximately 80 nucleotides in length. Their secondary structure includes four short double-helical elements and three loops (D, anti-codon, and T loops).
Source: RNAcentral